GACUCCAUGGCGCAAUGGUAGCGCGUUCGACUCCAGUCAUCCGUGACGCGGUCAUCGAAAGGUUGCGUGUUCAAGUCACGUUGGGGUCA
This 89-nucleotide transfer RNA is filed under the name Puccinia triticina. Its description in RNAcentral is "tRNA-Trp". It matches the Rfam family "tRNA". Rfam says of the family: Transfer RNA (tRNA) molecules are approximately 80 nucleotides in length. Their secondary structure includes four short double-helical elements and three loops (D, anti-codon, and T loops). Further hydrogen bonds mediate the characteristic L-shaped molecular structure. tRNAs have two regions of fundamental functional importance: the anti-codon, which is responsible for specific mRNA codon recognition, and the 3' end, to which the tRNAs corresponding amino acid is attached (by aminoacyl-tRNA synthetases). tRNAs cope with the degeneracy of the genetic code in two manners: having more than one tRNA (with a specific anti-codon) for a particular amino acid; and 'wobble' base-pairing, i.e. permitting non-standard base-pairing at the 3rd anti-codon position. RNAcentral also lists the same sequence under 1 other name. Lineage: Eukaryota; Fungi; Basidiomycota; Pucciniomycetes; Pucciniales; Pucciniaceae. The record is from RNAcentral.